AGAACGAACGCUGGCGGCAGGCCUCAAACAUGCAAGUCUAGGGGGCGUAGCAAUACGUCACCGGCGGACGGGUGCGUAACACGUGGGAAUGUACUUACUGGUUCGGAACAACUCAGGGAAACUUGAGCUAAUACCGAAUGUGCCCGAAAGGGGAAAGAUUUAUCGCCAGUAAAUCAGCCCGCGUCCGAUUAGCUAGUUGGCGGGGUAAAGGCCCACCAAGGCGACGAUCGGUAGCUGUUCUGAGAGGAAGAUCAGCCACACUGGGACUGAGACACGGCCCCAGACUCCUACGGGAGGCAGCAGUUGGGAAUCUUGGACAAUGGGGGAAACCCUGAUCCAGCCAUGCCGCGUGAGUGAUGAAGGCCUUCGGGUUGUAAAACUCUUUCGACGGGGACGAUAAUGACGGUACCCGUAGAAGAAGCUCCGGCUAACUUCGCGCCAGCCAGCCGC
RNAcentral lists this ribosomal RNA (450 nucleotides) under uncultured bacterium. RNAcentral's name for it is "SSU rRNA". It matches the Rfam family "Bacterial small subunit ribosomal RNA", at positions 26 to 518 of the family's 1533-position model. The record is from RNAcentral.